RNAcentral lists this ribosomal RNA (468 nucleotides) under uncultured bacterium. Its description in RNAcentral is "partial 16S ribosomal RNA". It matches the Rfam family "Bacterial small subunit ribosomal RNA", at positions 28 to 507 of the family's 1533-position model. The record is from RNAcentral.
GACGAACGCUGGCGGCGUGCUUAACACAUGCAAGUCGAACGGAAAGGCCCUGCUUUUGUGGGGUGCUCGAGUGGCGAACGGGUGAGUAACACGUGAGUAACCUGCCCUUGACUUUGGGAUAACUUCAGGAAACUGGGGCUAAUACCGGAUAGGUGCUCCUGCUGCCUGGUGGGGGUUGGAAAGUUUCGGCGGUUGGGGAUGGACUCGCGGCUUAUCAGCUUGUUGGUGGGGUAGUGGCUUACCAAGGCUUUGACGGGUAGCCGGCCUGAGAGGGUGACCGGCCACAUUGGGACUGAGAUACGGCCCAGACUCCUACGGGAGGCAGCAGUGGGGAAUAUUGCACAAUGGGCGGAAGCCUGAUGCAGCAACGCCGCGUGCGGGAUGACGGCCUUCGGGUUGUAAACCGCUUUCGCCGGUGACGAAGCGUGAGUGACGGUAAUGGGUAAAGAAGCACCGGCUAACUACGUG